GCCGACGUAGCUCAACGGCAGAGCAUCCGGCUCAUAACCGGAAGGCAUCCGGAUCGACACCGGGCGUCGGCACCA
This 75-nucleotide transfer RNA is filed under the name Micromonospora ureilytica. Its description in RNAcentral is "tRNA-Met". It matches the Rfam family "tRNA". Rfam says of the family: Transfer RNA (tRNA) molecules are approximately 80 nucleotides in length. Lineage: Bacteria; Bacillati; Actinomycetota; Actinomycetes; Micromonosporales; Micromonosporaceae. The record is from RNAcentral.